This is a long non-coding RNA of Argiope bruennichi, 2262 nucleotides long. RefSeq lists it as uncharacterized. The transcript has 4 exons. The record is from RefSeq and is a predicted model, not a curated record. NCBI's taxonomy places the organism in Eukaryota, Metazoa, Arthropoda, Arachnida, Araneae, Araneidae.
AUCUUUGUAAUUCAGUCUUCCAAAAUUUAAAAUUAAAUUUUUAUUUUUAAAUUUUAAUAUUAUAUUUUUAAAUUUUAAGAAAUCUUCUAAGAGGCAUUGAAAUCGGAACAUUUGGUAUUUUGAUUGAAUAUGCAAGAAAUCUCCGGAUACUCUAUAAAAGUGGCUUUCGAGAGACGAAAGUGUCAUAAUUAUGUGGAUUUUACUUGGUAUAGUCUAAUGAUAUAGGAAAGAGCCAUAGCGAUUGUUUUCUUGUGCCGUUUCUGAAAAUAUGCAGAAUGAACAUUUAAUUUGGAAAGUUUCUGAGGUUUAACUAACCUUAGAGAUCAUUAAACUGUCUCACUCAUACCAAGAAGUUUGUUUUGGAUUCAUCCGAUUUUUCACUCAUUUAAAAGAAUGCAACCUCACAGAAAUGAUCAGCGAAACAAAUCCUGCAGUUAUUAGAGCAGCUCUGUAGACUCUUCAGAUGUUUGUUGGAGCAAUGAAACAACGCUUUUCCCCAUAUGUGGAAUGACUGUCUUCUCAGCUCGGGACAAAAAUUGUAUUGAUAGCAGGCAUCUGGAUGGCCAGGGGACUCUCGGUUCCGCACAGAAGUAAUAUCGGCAAGUUGUCCACCCUAUGGAAAAACUGUGUCUAUACCGUUUUGUUGGGAAAGGGCAUGACGUCAAUCACAAAUACUGUUUCCUCAAUUCCAUGUACAUGCUAUCCAUCUGCACCAGUGCUGGGUGCGGGAAAGUAUUUAAGAUGACAUCAAAGCACAAGAAAUUCAAGGAUACGAUGUUGAAAGGUUUUGAAGCAAGUGAUCAUGGCACAACAGAUAAUAUGGAGCUUCAACAAGCGCAUAUUAGAAUUCGGAUCCUAUGGAAUCCAAUAAACCUUUGGUCUGCUAGUCGGAUGAUUUAUAAAGCCCUGAAACAUUGGAUUAAGCUUAAUGUAUCAACUUUGUACAAAAAAAAAUUACUGUAAUUUUAAAAAUGUUCUGCACAGUGGAUUGAAAGUGAAAUAAAUGUUUAUAAUCCCUGUAUAUUCCAGGAAAGUGGCUACUAAGUGACGAGUCUGGAUUACGUUGAUUUCUCAUAGUCUGAGGUAGUUGGAAAACCAUGGCCAUUACUACUUGCUGUUUUCAAGAGAUGAACAGAAAAAAAGAGAAUUUCAGUUUUUAGAGUAAUAUAGCAAGAACUUUGGAGAUAUCAAUUUAAACUCUUCACUUAUACCUGAAAGUAUUCUGAAGGAAUUCUUCGUGUUCACUCAUGAUGGAACGUCUUAUGAAUCGAAAGAAGCAGAAUUUCCUGCAAUUGAUAUUGGAGCAGCGCAUUCUGCAAAGAUUAGAUUAGAGGCAAUUUAAUUGAACAACGGCUUAAUCCCACUGAUCUGUGCAGUGAACACCAUUUAGUCUCCAGCCGCAAAUUCUUAAUAUGGGAGAUGUCUGGAUUGGAGGAAAAAAUGGUACUGAAGUGAUACCGAUGUCUACAUAUUUCAACCUAAGUGAUCAUGGCACAAGAUACCAUUUGGAGCCUUCAACCUUGCAAUUCAGAGCUUUUUCAAUGGAAUUAUGAAUGGAGAUCGAAUGUAUGCAGUUGAGUUUGUAAAAUUCCUUCUUGCUUCGCCUAAACUUAUUAGUUCCAUAAAAUGAAUACAUAAAUGGUUUUCACAAUGGAAAUGUGACUAUGUAUGUAGUCAACAUUACUUGAUGAUAUCAAUACAUCUUUGAAAUGUUCUAUUCUAAGAGCAAGAUACUGAUUAUUUAUACAAUUUUUUUCGAAAUUCGCAAAGCUUGAAAUGUGCAAAAUAUCCGUUUCAAAAGAACUGUCUGGCAAUUCAAUCAAUAUUUCAUCUUAAAAUUGUCGGGAAACUUUUAUUCUUGUACCAACUGGAAAAUAUUGAUCUUCAUUCAUUCCCUUCAAAAGUAGUACUUGUUUUUUAAAUAUUUGUUUUUAAAAUGCUUAUUCCUCAAUCUACAUUGGUAAAAUGUUUAUUAAUAUGGGGUAACUUAAGCUCUGGUAGUAUAUUUAAAUUUGCUAGUAAUCUGAACCAAAUUUCCAACAAGACUGAAUGUUCUAUUUACAUUUCAUAUCAAAUUCGGAUUAAAACUUCUGUGGCUAUUAAUCUCUUAUUGGAGCUCAACAAUUUGACAGAGUUCUCAUUAACCCUGCAGUAUAGACGGGAAUUACAAUUGUUAUUAUGAAGUAAAAAAAUUCAUUUGCGUAUUGCAUUACUUUAUCAUUGUGAGGGGAAAAUGAAUCUUUUCGCCCUUAGAUUUGUCGG